RNAcentral lists this ribosomal RNA (460 nucleotides) under uncultured bacterium. RNAcentral describes it as "partial 16S ribosomal RNA". It matches the Rfam family "Bacterial small subunit ribosomal RNA", at positions 338 to 795 of the family's 1533-position model. The record is from RNAcentral.
CCUACGGGUGGCAGCAGUGAGGAAUAUUGGUCAAUGGACGAGAGUCUGAACCAGCCAAGUAGCGUGAAGGAUGACUGCCCUAUGGGUUGUAAACUUCUUUUAUAUGGGAAUAAAAUGUUCCACGUGUGGGAUUUUGUAUGUACCAUAUGAAUAAGGAUCGGCUAACUCCGUGCCAGCAGCCGCGGUAAUACGGAGGAUCCGAGCGUUAUCCGGAUUUAUUGGGUUUAAAGGGAGCGUAGGUGGAUUGUUAAGUCAGUUGUGAAAGUUUGCGGCUCAACCGUAAAAUUGCAGUUGAAACUGGCAGUCUUGAGUACAGUAGAGGUGGGCGGAAUUCGGGGUGUAGCGGUGAAAUGCUUAGAGAUCACGAAGAACGCCGAUUGCGAAGGCAGUUCACUGGACUGCAACUGACACUGAGGCUCGAAAGUGUGGGUAUCAAACAGGAUUAGAUACCCCGGUAGUC